AUUGAACGCUGGCGGCAUGCCUUACACAUGCAAGUCGAACGGCAGCGGGCCUUCGGGUGCCGGCGAGUGGCGAACGGGUGAGUAAUGCAUCGGAACGUGCCAUUGAGUGGGGGAUAACGUAGCGAAAGUUACGCUAAUACCGCAUAUUCUGUGAGCAGGAAAGCAGGGGACCGCAAGGCCUUGCGCUCUUUGAGCGGCCGAUGUCAGAUUAGCUAGUUGGUGAGGUAAAGGCUUACCAAGGCGACGAUCUGUAGCGGGUCUGAGAGGAUGAUCCGCCACACUGGAACUGAGACACGGUCCAGACUCCUACGGGAGGCAGCAGUGGGGAAUUUUGGACAAUGGGCGCAACCCUGAUCCAGCCAUGCCGCGUGAGUGAAGAAGGCC
This 384-nucleotide ribosomal RNA is filed under the name uncultured bacterium. RNAcentral describes it as "bacterial SSU rRNA". It matches the Rfam family "Bacterial small subunit ribosomal RNA", at positions 30 to 416 of the family's 1533-position model. The record is from RNAcentral.